RNAcentral lists this ribosomal RNA (945 nucleotides) under uncultured archaeon. Its description in RNAcentral is "bacterial SSU rRNA". It matches the Rfam family "Archaeal small subunit ribosomal RNA", at positions 1 to 923 of the family's 1478-position model. The record is from RNAcentral.
UCCGGUUGAUCCUGCCGGACCCUACUGCUAACGGGGUGGGACUAAGACAUGUUAGUCGAACGUUUCGCAGCCAUGAGUGAAACGUGGCAUACGGCUCAGUAACACGUGGCUAACCCACCCUCGGGACGGAGACAACCCCGGGAAACUGGGGCUAAUACUCGAUAGGCGAGGACUCCUGGAAUGGGUCUUCACCCAAAAGGUGUUGGAAUCAUGCUUUCUGGCAUCGCCCGAGGACGGGGCCGCGGCCGAUCAGGUAGUUGGUGAGGCAACGGCUCACCAAGCCUAUAACCGGUACGGGCCGUGGGAGCGGGAGCCCGGAGAUGGGAACUGAGACAAGGUCCCAGGUCCUACGGGGCGCAGCAGUCGCGCAAACUCUGCAAUGCACGAAAGUGUGACAGGGCUACCCCGAGUGCCGUCCGCUGAGGAUGGCUUUUCUCUGCUGUAAGGAAGCGGAGGAAUAAGGAGAGGGCAAGCCUGGUGUCAGCCGCCGCGGUAAUACCAGCUCUCCGAGUGGUGGGGAUGAUUAUUGGGCUUAAAGCGUCCGUAGCCGGCCUUUCAAGUCUUCCGUUAAAUCCAGCGAUUCAAUCGUUGGACUGCGGGAGAUACUGUUGGGCUAGGGGGCGGGAGAAGCCGACGGUAUUUUCGGGGUAGGGGUAAAAUCCUAUAAUCCCGGGAAGACCACCAGUGGCGUAGGCGGUCGGCUAGCACGCGCUCGACGGUGAGGGACUAAAGCUGGGGGAGCGAACCGGAUUAGAUACCCGGGUAGUCCCAGCUGUAAACGAUGCGGGCUAGGUGUUGGAGCGGCCACGAGCCGCUUCAGUGCCGCAGGGAAGCCAUUAAGCCCGCCGCCUGGGGAGUACGGCCGCAAGGCUGAAACUUAAAGGAAUUGGCGGGGGAGCACCACAAGGGGUGAAGCUUGCGGUUUAAUUGGAGUCAACGCCGGGA